RNAcentral lists this ribosomal RNA (506 nucleotides) under uncultured bacterium. RNAcentral's name for it is "bacterial SSU rRNA". It matches the Rfam family "Bacterial small subunit ribosomal RNA", at positions 8 to 507 of the family's 1533-position model. The record is from RNAcentral.
AGAGUUUGAUCAUGGCUCAGAUUGAACGCUGGCGGCAUGCCUUACACAUGCAAGUCGAACGGCAGCGGCGGGGCAACCUGGGCGGCGAGUGGCGAACGGGUGAGUAAUAUAUCGGAACGUGCCCUGGAGUGGGGGAUAACGUAGCGAAAGUUACGCUAAUACCGCAUACGAUCUGAGGAUGAAAGCAGGGGACCUUCGGGCCUUGUGCUCCUGGAGCGGCCGAUAUCUGAUUAGCUAGUUGGUGGGGUAAAAGCCUACCAAGGCGACGAUCAGUAGCUGGUCUGAGAGGACGACCAGCCACACUGGAACUGAGACACGGUCCAGACUCCUACGGGAGGCAGCAGGUGGGGUAAUUUUGGACAAUGGGGGCAACCCUGAUCCAGCAAUGCCGCGUGUGUGAAGAAGGCCUUCGGGUUGUAAAGCACUUUUGUCAGGAACGAAACGGUUGAGGUUAAUACCCUUGGCUAAUGACGGUACCUGAAGAAUAAGCACCGGCUAACUACGUG